This 450-nucleotide ribosomal RNA is filed under the name uncultured organism. RNAcentral describes it as "partial 16S ribosomal RNA". It matches the Rfam family "Bacterial small subunit ribosomal RNA", at positions 330 to 797 of the family's 1533-position model. The record is from RNAcentral.
CGUACACUCCUGCGGGAGGCAGCAGUGGGGAAUAUUGGACAAUGGGCGCAAGCCUGAUCCAGCCAUGCCGCGUGAGUGAUGAAGGCCCUAGGGUUGUAAAGCUCUUUCACCGGUGAAGAUAAUGACGGUAACCGGAGAAGAAGCCCCGGCUAACUUCGUGCCAGCAGCCGCGGUAAUACGAAGGGGGCUAGCGUUGUUCGGAUUUACUGGGCGUAAAGCGCACGUAGGCGGACUAUUAAGUCAGGGGUGAAAUCCCGGGGCUCAACCCCGGAACUGCCUUUGAUACUGGUAGUCUUGAGUUCGAGAGAGGUGAGUGGAAUUCCGAGUGUAGAGGUGAAAUUCGUAGAUAUUCGGAGGAACACCAGUGGCGAAGGCGGCUCACUGGCUCGAUACUGACGCUGAGGUGCGAAAGCGUGGGGAGCAAACAGGAUUAGAAACCCUUGUAGUCCC